Molecule: small RNA, 113 nt
Filed under: Pan troglodytes (chimpanzee)
Lineage: Eukaryota; Metazoa; Chordata; Mammalia; Primates; Hominidae
Description: processed transcript
Source: RNAcentral
AUCAUCAGAUCGUGGGACUAUCUCCUAUGGCUACAUGGAAAAGAAAGCUGUCCUGAAUCCCCACGAGGCCCUGGCUCAGCCUCUUCCCACCACAGGCACACCGGGGUCAGAAG